AAGUCGAGUAACAGGAAACAGCUUGCUGUUUCGCUGACGAGUGGCGGACGGGUGAGUAAUGUCUGGGAAACUGCCUGAUGGAGGGGGAUAACUACUGGAAACGGUAGCUAAUACCGCAUAACGUCGCAAGACCAAAGAGGGGGACCUUCGGGCCUCUUGCCAUCGGAUGUGCCCAGAUGGGAUUAGCUUGUUGGUGGGGUAACGGCUCACCUAGGCGACGAUCCCUAGCUGGUCUGAGAGGAUGACCAGCCACACUGGAACUGAGACACGGUCCAGACUCCUACGGGAGGCAGCAGUGGGGAAUAUUGCACAAUGGGCGCAAGCCUGAUGCAGCCAUGCCGCGUGUAUGAAGAAGGCCUUCGGGUUGUAAAGUACUUUCAGCGGGGAGGAAGGGAGUAAAGUUAAUACCUUUGCUCAUUGACGUUACCCGCAGAAGAAGCACCGGCUAACUCCGUGCCAGCAGCCGCGGUAAUACGGAGGGUGCAAGCGUUAAUCGGAAUUACUGGGCGUAAAGCGCACGCAGGCGGUUUGUUAAGUCAGAUGUGAAAUCCCCGGGCUCAACCUGGGAACUGCAUCUGAUACUGGCAAGCUUGAGUCUCGUAGAGGGGG
Molecule: ribosomal RNA, 609 nt
Filed under: Escherichia coli
Lineage: Bacteria; Pseudomonadati; Pseudomonadota; Gammaproteobacteria; Enterobacterales; Enterobacteriaceae
Description: bacterial SSU rRNA
Rfam family: Bacterial small subunit ribosomal RNA
Source: RNAcentral